RNAcentral lists this ribosomal RNA (124 nucleotides) under Exophiala equina. RNAcentral's name for it is "partial large subunit ribosomal RNA". The record is from RNAcentral. Lineage: Eukaryota; Fungi; Ascomycota; Eurotiomycetes; Chaetothyriales; Herpotrichiellaceae.
GAGUUGUAAUUUGUAGAGGAUGUUUCGGGUACCGCCUCGGUUUAAAUUUCUUGGAACAGAAUGUCAAAGAGGGUGAGAAUCCCGUCUUGGACCGGCGGUAGGGCCCAUGUGAAACUCCUUCGAC